UCUAAACAACCAAACAACAAAGUCGUUGUAGUAUAGUGGUAAGUAU
RNAcentral lists this small RNA (46 nucleotides) under Arabidopsis thaliana (thale cress). RNAcentral's name for it is "ATSL002000". Lineage: Eukaryota; Viridiplantae; Streptophyta; Magnoliopsida; Brassicales; Brassicaceae. The record is from RNAcentral.